Molecule: ribosomal RNA, 253 nt
Filed under: uncultured bacterium
Lineage: Bacteria
Description: partial 16S ribosomal RNA
Rfam family: Bacterial small subunit ribosomal RNA
Source: RNAcentral
UACGUAGGGUGCGAGCGUUGUCCGGAAUUAUUGGGCGUAAAGAGCUUGUAGGCGGUUUGUCGCGUCUGCUGUGAAAUCUCAAGGCUCAACCUUGAGCUUGCAGUGGGUACGGGCAGACUAGAGUGUGGUAGGGGAGACUGGAAUUCCUGGUGUAGCGGUGAAAUGCGCAGAUAUCAGGAGGAACCCCGAUGGCGAAGGCAGGUCUCUGGGCAUUAACUGACGCUGAGGAGCGAAAGCAUGGGGAGCGAACGGG